UACGUAGGGGGCAAGCGUUGUCCGGAUUUAUUGGGCGUAAAGAGCGUGUAGGCGGCCACACAGGUCAGCUGUGAAAACUCGAGGCUCAACCUCGAGACGUCGGUUGAAACCGUAUGGCUAGAGUCCGGAAGAGGAGAGUGGAAUUCCCGGUGUAGCGGUGAAAUGCGUAGAGAUCGGAAAGAACACCAACGGCGAAAGCACUCUGCUGGGCCGACACUGACACUGAGAGACGAAAGCUAGGGGAGCGAAUGGG
This 253-nucleotide ribosomal RNA is filed under the name uncultured bacterium. RNAcentral's name for it is "partial 16S ribosomal RNA". It matches the Rfam family "Bacterial small subunit ribosomal RNA", at positions 524 to 776 of the family's 1533-position model. The record is from RNAcentral.